GAUGAAGAACGCAGCGAAAUGCGAUAAGUAGUGUGAAUUGCAGAAUUCAGUGAAUCAUCGAAUCUUUGAACGCACAUUGCGCCCUUUGGUAUUCCAAAGGGCAUGCCUGUUCGAGCGUCAUUUGUACCCUCAAGCUUUGCUUGGUGUUGGGCGUCUUGUCUCUAGCUUUGCUGGAGACUCGCCUUAAAGUAAUUGGCAGCCGGCCUACUGGUUUCGGAGCGCAGCACAAGUCGCACUCUCUAUCAGCAAAGGUCUAGCAUCCAUUAAGCCUUUUUUUCAACUUUUGACCUCGGAUCAGGUAGUGAUACCCGCUGAACUUAAGCAUAUCAAUAAGCGGAGGA
Molecule: unclassified non-coding RNA, 341 nt
Filed under: soil metagenome
Description: partial contains 5.8S ribosomal RNA, internal transcribed spacer 2, and large subunit ribosomal RNA
Rfam family: 5.8S ribosomal RNA (bases 1-120)
Source: RNAcentral